Molecule: ribosomal RNA, 464 nt
Filed under: uncultured bacterium
Lineage: Bacteria
Description: partial 16S ribosomal RNA
Rfam family: Bacterial small subunit ribosomal RNA
Source: RNAcentral
CCUACGGGAGGCAGCAGUAGGGAAUCUUCCACAAUGGGCGAAAGCCUGAUGGAGCAACGCCGCGUGGGUGAAGAAGGUCUUCGGAUCGUAAAACCCUGUUGUUAGAGAAGAAAGUGCGUGAGAGUAACUGUUCACGUUUCGACGGUAUCUAACCAGAAAGCCACGGCUAACUACGUGCCAGCAGCCGCGGUAAUACGUAGGUGGCAAGCGUUAUCCGGAUUUAUUGGGCGUAAAGGGAACGCAGGCGGUCUUUUAAGUCUGAUGUGAAAGCCUUCGGCUUAACCGGAUUAGUGCAUUGGAAACUGGGAGACUUAGGUGCAGAAGAGGAGAGUGGAACUCCAGGUGUAGCGGUGAAGUGCGUAGAUAUAUGGAAGAACACCGGUGGCGAAAGCGGCUCUCUGGGCUGUAACUGACGCUGAGGUUCGAAAGCGUGGGUAGCAAACAGGAUUAGAUACCCUUGUAGU